ACAAAAAGUAAGAAAGGGCGCAUGGCGGAUGCCUUGGCUCUCGGAGGCGAUGAAGGACGUGAUAAGCUGCGAUAAGCUCCGGGUAGGUGCAAAUGACCUUUGAUCCGGAGAUUUCCGAAUGGGACAACCCAAUAUCUUGAAGAGAUAUUAUUCUGCAUAGCAGAAGGCUAACGCAGGGAACUGAAACAUCUUAGUACCUGCAGGAAAAGAAAAUAAACAAUGAUUCCCCUAGUAGUGGCGAGCGAACGGGGAAUAGCCCAAACCAGUCAUGUUACGGCAUGGCUGGGGUUGUAGGACCACGAUGUGGCAUGAAAACUGGUGAGUGGAACCCUCUGG
This 336-nucleotide ribosomal RNA is filed under the name Bacteroides sp. OM08-11. RNAcentral's name for it is "bacterial LSU rRNA". It matches the Rfam family "Bacterial large subunit ribosomal RNA", at positions 1 to 345 of the family's 2925-position model. The record is from RNAcentral. Lineage: Bacteria; Pseudomonadati; Bacteroidota; Bacteroidia; Bacteroidales; Bacteroidaceae.